AAUCGAACCCGGAGAUAGCUGGUUCUCCUCGAAAUAGCUUUAGGGCUAGCCUCGAUACAGAUUUGCGGAGGUAGAGCACUGAAUUUCCUAGGGGGCGUCAAAGCCUACCGAAGAAUAUCAAACUCCGAAUGCCGCGUAAUCGAUUAUCGGGAGUCAGACUGCACGAGAUAAGUUGGGCGGUCAAAAGGGAAAGAGCCCAGACCUUCAGUUAAGGUCCCCAAGUGCGCGUUAAGUGGAAAAGGAUGUGGGAUUUCGAAGACAACCAGGAUGUUGGCUCAGAAGCAGCCAUCCAUUCAAAGAGUGCGUAAUAGCUCACUGGUCGAGAGGUCCUGCGCCGAAAAUGUCCGGGGCUGAAACGCGCCACCGAAACUAAGGAACCGAAAGGUUGGUAGAGGAGCAUUGCAUGCGGAACGAAGCAGUACCGUAAGGAGCUGUGGACUGCAUGGAAGAGAGAAUGCCGGAAUGAGUAGCGAGAUAGAGGUGGGAAUCCUCUAGGCCGAAUAUCCAAGGUUUCCAGAGUAAAGCUGAUCUGCUCUGGGUAAGUCGGGGCCUAAGGCGAGGACGAGAGUCGUAGCCGAUGGACAACAGGUGGAGAUUCCUGUACUGCGGUAUGACAGAACUGUGGGGACACGUAAGGAAAGCGGAAGCCGGGAAUGGAAAGCCCGGUGCAAGCGGGGUACCAGUCACUUUGGCAAAUCCGGGUGGCAAUGGGAAGCCGUGAUGCGGAGUGAAAUAAAGUAACGAAGUCCGUGAGCCAUGCGUCAAGAAAAGCCGCUAUUGUUUAUACCGUACCCGUACCGUAAACCGACACAGGUGGAUGAGGAGAGAAUCCUAAGGCCGGCGGAAGAAGCAUUGUCAAGGAACUCGGCAAAAUGGCCCCGUAACUUAGGGAUAAGGGGUGCCUGGGAAACCAGGCCGCAGAGAAUAGGCUCAAGCAACUGUUUAGCAAAAACACAGGUCUAUGCGAAACCGAAAGGUGAGGUAUAUGGGCUGACGCCUGCCCGGUGCUGGAAGGUUAAGAGGAGAGGUUAGCGCAAGCGAAGCUUUGAAUUUAAGCCCCAGUAAACGGCGGCCGUAACUAUAACGGUCCUAAGGUAGCGAAAUUCCUUGUCGGGUAAGUUCCGACCCGCACGAAAGGCGUAAUGAUUUGAGCGCUGUCUCGACAAUGCAUCCGGUGAAAUUGAAGUACCAGUGAAGAUGCUGGUUACCUGCGCCAGGACGGAAAGACCCCAUGGAGCUUUACUCCAGUCUGGUACUGGGACUCGGUAUUGCAUGUACAGGAUAGGUGGGAGGCUAGGAGAUGGUAACGCCAGUUGCCAUGGAGCCGCUGUUGGGAUACCACCCUUGCAGUAUUGGGUUUCUAACCAGCCGCCGUGACCCGGCGGUGGGACAAUGCCAGACGGGGAGUUUGACUGGGGCGGUCGCCUCCGAAAGGGUAUCGGAGGCGCCCAAAGGUUCCCUCAGAAUGGACGGAAACCAUUCGAAGAGUGCAAAGGCAGAAGGGAGCUUGACUGCGACACCGACGGGUGGAGCAGGUACGAAAGUAGGACUUAGUGAUCCGGUGGUAUGAAAGUGGGAUUGCCAUCGCUCAACGGAUAAAAGCUACCCUGGGGAUAACAGGCUUAUCACUCCCAAGAGUUCACAUCGACGGAGUGGUUUGGCACCUCGAUGUCGGCUCAUCGCAUCCUGGGGCUGUAGUAGGUCCCAAGGGUUGGGCUGUUCGCCCAUUAAAGCGGUACGCGAGCUGGGUUCAGAACGUCGUGAGACAGUUCGGUCCCUAUCCGGCGUGGGCGUAGGAUAUCUGAGAGGAGCUGUCCUUAGUACGAGAGGACCGGGAUGGACGGGCCGCUGGUGCAUCGGUUAGACUGCCAAGUCUACGGCCGAGUAGCCAAGCCCGGAAGGGAUAAACGCUGAAGGCAUCUAAGCGUGAAGCCCCCCUUAAGAUGAGAUAUCCCAUUCGUUAAGAAGUAAACCCCCUUGA
This 1981-nucleotide ribosomal RNA is filed under the name human gut metagenome. RNAcentral's name for it is "bacterial LSU rRNA". It matches the Rfam family "Bacterial large subunit ribosomal RNA", at positions 831 to 2841 of the family's 2925-position model. The record is from RNAcentral.